This 441-nucleotide ribosomal RNA is filed under the name uncultured bacterium. RNAcentral's name for it is "partial 16S ribosomal RNA". It matches the Rfam family "Bacterial small subunit ribosomal RNA", at positions 338 to 795 of the family's 1533-position model. The record is from RNAcentral.
CCUACGGGUGGCUGCAGUGGGGGAUAUUGCACAAUGGGGGGAACCCUGAUGCAGCGACGCCGCGUGGGUGAAGGAGCGUUUCGGCUCGUAAAGCCCUAUCGGCAGGGAAGAAGGAGGACGGUACCUGACUAAGAAGCCCCGGCUAACUACGUGCCAGCAGCCGCGGUAAUACGGAGGGGGCAAGCGUUAUCCGGAUUUACUGGGUGUAAAGGGGGCGCAGACGGCAGCGCAAGCCAGGAGGGAAAGCCCAGGGCGCAACCCCGGAACUGCUUUUGAAACUGCGAGGCUGGAGUACAGGAGGGGUAGGCGGAAUUCCUGGUGUAGCGGUGAAAUGCGUAGAUAUCAGGAGGAACACCGAUGGCGAAGGCGGCCUGCUAGAAUGCGACUGACGUUGAGGCGCGAAAGCGUGGGGAGCAAACAGGAUUAGAUACCCCAGUAGUC